CGCUAAGCGAAUCGGGCGUGCUGGCCGAAAGCGAAGAUCGCGAUGGCCUUGACAUGGGUAUGGAACGUACCGAACGCUCGCGUACCUGGUGGUGGGUAAACAACAAUGAAAGAUUAGUGAUGCAAUCUUUUGGGCGUAGUUGAGUUCGACUUACCCAGUGUGUUGUUGGAUGACAAUGGAGCACAUGUGGACUCAGUGGUACCGAGCGGCUGGCAUUGCAGCGCACGAAUACUGUGCCGCCGGCGCCCAUGUGUAUGGGAAAGGCGCAUGGGACUUGGUCUUGUGCACGGAUUUUCUCAAAUAUUGGCAUUAACUCGGCCAAGUGCUCAUCAGCUACAUAUAUAUAGAAACACAAUUUUGUUGUUGUUGGCAUUUUGCUCAAUAUAGCUUAUAGCUGACUAAACGGUAUAUGAUCAUUUAAACAACUUGCCUCUAUACAAAGAAAAAUCAACAUAACCUCUAAAUGACUGCACAUAACCUCAAUAGAACCUAACCUCACAAAGCGCGACAGUUAGCGCGCGCAUGUGUAAUUUAUCUAGCAUUAAACUCAAAAUAUAUGACGCAGCGUAACAUAAAACAA
This is a long non-coding RNA of Drosophila montana, 580 nucleotides long. RefSeq lists it as uncharacterized. The transcript has 2 exons. The record is from RefSeq and is a predicted model, not a curated record. NCBI's taxonomy places the organism in Eukaryota, Metazoa, Arthropoda, Insecta, Diptera, Drosophilidae.